This 76-nucleotide transfer RNA is filed under the name Roseomonas sp. RNAcentral's name for it is "tRNA-Lys". It matches the Rfam family "tRNA". From Rfam's summary of the family: Transfer RNA (tRNA) molecules are approximately 80 nucleotides in length. Their secondary structure includes four short double-helical elements and three loops (D, anti-codon, and T loops). RNAcentral also lists the same sequence under 1 other name. Lineage: Bacteria; Pseudomonadati; Pseudomonadota; Alphaproteobacteria; Acetobacterales; Roseomonadaceae. The record is from RNAcentral.
GUGCCCGUAGCUCAGCCGGUAGAGCACGUGACUUUUAAUCAUGGGGCCGUGGGUUCGAGUCCCACCGGGCACACCA